AAUUAAUAUUUUAUUUUUUAACAUUUCAUUGACAUUAAUAAAUUGGAACACAAUAAAUUGGAAACUGAGUUUGUUUACAAUUUUCGUAUGCCGGGUUAAUGAACGCUGCAGCACUCACCUUCACGAUAGACUUAAGCAAAAAACUUGAUGAGUGUAUGAAUCAUUGAUAUCAGCAACAACUCCACAAGGUUAGAAUAUUAUUGCAAUAAUCAAGAGAGAAGUCAGUUAGUUUAAUAAGAACACAAAUUUCCUAAGAAAAACACUGAAAACGCAGCUGUGAUCUCGUAUAUAUCUAGUAUAUAUAUAUAUAUCUAGUCAGUAGUCAGUAGAAUAUAGAGAGGAAGCUUGUAGAACCACUGACGUCAACGGUUAUUUCUUCUGCAUAGAAUCAUCGGCUUUUGGGCGCUAGCGGUAACAGAAUCACUGACAUUUGGGCACCACUGACUAGUGUUUAUCGGCGUUUAAAUUCCUUAACCAUUAA
Molecule: long non-coding RNA, 481 nt
Organism: Teleopsis dalmanni
Lineage: Eukaryota; Metazoa; Arthropoda; Insecta; Diptera; Diopsidae
Exons: 2
Source: RefSeq, a predicted model, not a curated record